RNAcentral lists this ribosomal RNA (253 nucleotides) under uncultured bacterium. RNAcentral describes it as "partial 16S ribosomal RNA". It matches the Rfam family "Bacterial small subunit ribosomal RNA", at positions 524 to 776 of the family's 1533-position model. The record is from RNAcentral.
UACGAGUGCCCCAAGCGUUAUCCGGAUUUAUUGGGCGUAAAGAGUCUGUAGGUGGCUUGGUAAGUCGAUGGUCAAAUCCAUAAGCUCAACUUGUGGACCGCCACCGAAACUACUAAGCUAGAGGUUGGGAGAGGUAGAUGGAAUUGCCGGUGUAGGGGUAAAAUCCGUUAAUAUCGGCAAGAACACCAAAUGCGAAGGCUUUCUACUGGAACACACCUGACACUGAGAGACGAAAGCAUGGGGAGCGAAUGGG